UACGAAGGGGGCUAGCGUUGCUCGGAAUUACUGGGCGUAAAGGGCGCGUAGGCGGCUCUGUAAGUCAGGCGUGAAAUUCCUGGGCUUAACCUGGGGGCUGCGCUUGAGACUGCGGGGCUUGAGGUCAGAAGAGGGUCGUGGAAUUCCCAGUGUAGAGGUGAAAUUCGUAGAUAUUGGGAAGAACACCGGUGGCGAAGGCGGCGACCUGGUCUGAUACUGACGCUGAGGCGCGACAGCGUGGGGAGCAAACAGG
RNAcentral lists this ribosomal RNA (253 nucleotides) under uncultured bacterium. RNAcentral's name for it is "partial 16S ribosomal RNA". It matches the Rfam family "Bacterial small subunit ribosomal RNA", at positions 524 to 776 of the family's 1533-position model. The record is from RNAcentral.